Rhagoletis zephyria (snowberry fruit fly) is the source of this 3554-nucleotide RNA transcript. RefSeq lists it as uncharacterized. The record is from RefSeq and is a predicted model, not a curated record. NCBI's taxonomy places the organism in Eukaryota, Metazoa, Arthropoda, Insecta, Diptera, Tephritidae.
AGGGGUGCAUGUCACGAGAGUCGGAUAGUUAUUUUCUACGGAGCCGAGUGGUGGAAAGGGUUGCCAGCGUAAUCGAGUCAUCGUUUGAAAGUACGAUAAUGGAGGAUUCAGUACGGUCAGCCACAGCGGGUGAAGACCACGUGAACGCUAUUAUCGCGACUUUAAAUGCCUUGCGGGCAUCAGUUGAAGAGUUGCGGAACAGUACGCUGGAAAGCCUGAGGGAUAUCGUGAGACUACGAGAAGAAAUGCAACCACAAAGUGAAGAAAAUGUAACUGUACAUCCAGCACCAAGCGAGGUAAGACACAGUUGUGCCAGCCACACAUUUGGCGGUAAAAUUAUACGACUUGCCAACUUUUAGCGGUAAUGCCGAAGAGUGGCAUCUGUUCGUAGCCAACUUUAAUGAAACUACGCAGGCAUUUAGCUACAAUAAUCGACAAAAUUUAAUGCGUUUACAAAAGUGCUUGGUGGGGCCAGCAAAAGUAGCAGUGGUAUCAAUGUUAAUUUACCCUGACGACGUGCCAAAUGUGUUGAACGAGUUGGAGUUUAGGUUCGGUAGGCCCGACAUUUUAGUAAAAUGGCAGCUUAGUAAAUUACAACAACUCCCGACUAUAGCCGAGCACAAGCCUGAGCAGAUAGUGACAUUUUCUACCAAGGUGCGUAACGUGGUAGCGUUUUUGAAAUCUGCGAAGUGUGACCAGCACUUAUCGAAUAGGUACCCCACAAUAAAAGAUUUUUCUGCAUGGCUUAGUGACUUAGCCAGAGUUGUUUGUUUGAUGCCGGCUGCCAACACAAAUAUUUACAAGCAUAAUGUGUCGUCAGCUAAUCCCCGACGUUUGAUGCACAUACAAGAUGAAAGCCCAGCAGAGCCCAUGAAGUGUUUCCAUUGUGGCGGCAACCAUUCAAUCGCAAGGUGUGAAGUCUUUAAAACGGUAGGUGUAGCAGAAAGAUGGGAAGUGGUAAAAAUGUGUCAACUGUGUUUUGAUUGUCUUCGCAAAGGACAUAGUUCGUCGAAAUGCCUGUCUAAGAAGCCUUGUAAUAUAAAUGGCUGUGCAAGGUACCACAACCAAUUGUUACACAGUGAUGAACAACAAUCCGUACCGCAACAAGCAACCCAACGACAGAUUAGCACGCAGCCGCUGCUGAAUUGCCGUCUUGUACAGCAGACGUCUAAGCAGCUAUUUAAAACUCUUCCGGUUAACCUUUAUGGGCCGAAUGGUAAAUACAAAGUUUUGACAAUGUUCGAUGAAGGGUCAGCGAUCACAGUAAUAGAAGAUGAGACUGCUAAGAGCAUUGGGCUUAAGGGUCACCGUCAACCCCUUACACUCCAGUGGUACAACUACAGGGUCGUGACCGAUUCAUUCAAGGUAACCUUUGAAAUUGGUAGCUGUUGCGAUAAUACUAGAUUUUCAUUGAAAAACGUACAUACGGUAAAAAAUCUGAAUUUACCUAAGCAGUCUUUUGCCAAAGAAGAUUUCUACCAUUUAAGGGACCUGCCAUUGCAAGACUACAGCAUGGCGAAACCAGUUUUGUUGAUCGGUUUAAAUGAAGCACAUUUAGGUAUCAGCUCGAGUACCGUUCUGGCCGACCAUGAAAGUCCGGUGGUUAUCAAAACGUCAUUGGGUUGGGUGGCGUAUGGCCCGACCAAGUUUGUGUCAACGACUAUGCGAACGCACAACGUUAUUUAUGGCGGAACCGGGGACUCCAACGAACCUAUAUAAGAAUUUUUGAUGACAACUAUGAUUUUCGGUGCAGUUUGCUCACCGUGUACCGCCGAGCGCGUGAAGAAUAAAAACGCCGAAAGAUUUGAAACAGAAUUCCCGAAAGCGGCACCUGCCAUAAUAAAUAAUCACUACGUGGAUGACCUGGUUGCCAGUUUGACGAUACACACGAAGCCAUUACAGUCUGCCAACAGAUUGUAAACAUCAAUUUGGAAGCAGGUUUCGAAUUACGAGAUUUCAUAUCCAACUGCAGUAACGUAGAGAGAGCGUUGAACAAAACACCACCAACAACGCGUGAAACAAUUAACAUGGCACGCAGUGAAACCGCCAAAAAGGUCCUCGGCAUGUACAGGAACACCAAAAAAGACGCAUUCGAGUUCCAUACGAAGUUUCAUCGUUUCGUACCGCAAUCAGUGCUUUCUAGUGAGCGAGCUCCGACGAAGCGGGAGUUACUCAGCAUCGUAAUGGCAGUUUUCGACCCAUUUGGGCUAUUGGCGAAUUUAUUAAUCUCAUCGAAAAUUUUGGUGCAAAAAACCUGGAGGCAAGGCAUCAACUGGGACGAAGCUCUUUCUGCAGAUCUGACAGCGAAAUGGAUACCCUCGUGGAAAGAGUUUCAGCGCACCAGAAAUUUUCAGAUUCCACGGUACUACUCGGCCAAUAUCUCAUGUAGCAGCAACAUAGAAUUGCACAUUUUUGUCGACGCUAGCCAAGUAGCAUUUGCAGCAGUUGGUUACUUCCGCGUGGUGCACAACGGCGUAGUGGACGUGACUUUCGUAAUGGCUAAAACUCGCACCGCCCCUAAUCGCUUAAUGUCUAUUCCUAGACUUGAGUUGCAAGCAGCAGUAUUGGGCACCAGAUUAACUACUCGCAGACUGUAUUGCAAUGGAUUUAUUCCUCCGAGAGAAAAUACAAGGCCUUCGUAGGUCAUCGCUUUGCUGAAAUCAUAAGCGUAACUGUUCCUGAGCAGUGGCGUUGGGUUACAACUAAUAGCAACCCAGAAGACGCAGCUACACGACCGUCAACUCCACCUAGGUUCAAUACAGAUGACCGCUGGAUCAACGGCCCUGAAUUCCGUAAGUACAGCGAGCUACAUUGGCCAGCCACUAUUGUCGAGCGUCCCGCAGUAAUGCUUGAAGAAGUUCAACCCAGCCGUCUCCUUUAUUGUCAGGCAAGUAAAAAUUUCAUUGAUUUUACUAAAUUUCGUUCAUACUUGAAGAUAAAACGGAUAGUCGCAUGGGUGUUACGAGCCAAAUUGUUGUUUAAUAGAAAGUCAGUCAAUAUGCGUCUGUCGAAUGUACUUACCGCUGCGGAAAUUGAAGAAGAUCUGUAAAACGGUGCAACAAGAGUGUUUCGCAAGCGAGAUUUCAGACCUCUCUUCGUCGCGUCAGCAUUCAGACAGAGUGCGGUGUACAGUCUUACACCCUAUCUCGACGAAAAGGGCCUUCUGAGGUUAAAUGGUCGCAUCGAUAUGGCAAUGUAUUUACUUUUCGAGACGCGUCAUCCUAUUUUAUUCCCGGCGAAGCACAUCGUCGCAGAACUAAUCGUAAAGCACCAUCACGAGAAAGGUCAUCAUCAGAACCUCGCAGUUAUAAUCAAUACAGUACGACAAAAAUUCUGGAUUCCCCAUAGUAAAACGCUCUACAAGAGAGUGCAGCGAAACUGUCUUGAAUGCAGAUUGACCAAAGCAAAGCCAGUCGCGCCUAUGAUGGGGCAGCUGCCAGCUGACCGCGUUACACCCUAUGUACGACCAUUUUCUUACACAGGCGUAGACCUGUUUGGGCCUUUAAAUGUCGCAAUCGGGCAUAGACGAGAGAAGAGGUGGGGUGUUAUCUUCA